GAUGAACGCUGGCGGCGUGCCUAAAACAUGCAAGUCGAGCGGUAAGGCCUCUUCGGAGGUACACGAGCGGCGGACGGGUGAGUAACACGUGGGAAUCUACCCCAAACUGAGGGAUAAGCACCGGAAACGGUGUCUAAUACCGCAUAUGGUCUUCGGAUUAAAGCUUCGGCGGUUUGGGAAGAGCCCGCGUAAGAUUAGCUAGUUGGUGAGGUAAAGGCUUACCAAGGCGACGAUCUUUAGCUGGUUUGAGAGGAUGAUCAGCCACACUGGAACUGAGACACGGUCCAGACUCCUACGGGAGGCAGCAGUUAGGAAUUUUCCACAAUGGGCGCAAGCCUGAUGGAGCAACGCCGCGUGCAGGAUGAAGGUUUUCGGAUUGUAAACUGCUUUUAUGUGCGAAGAAUAUGACGGUAACACAUGAAUAAGGAUCGGCUAACUCCGUG
RNAcentral lists this ribosomal RNA (443 nucleotides) under uncultured bacterium. Its description in RNAcentral is "bacterial SSU rRNA". It matches the Rfam family "Bacterial small subunit ribosomal RNA", at positions 28 to 507 of the family's 1533-position model. The record is from RNAcentral. RNAcentral also lists the same sequence under 1 other name.